AGAGUUUGAUCCUGGCUCAGGAUUAACGCUAGCGGCAGGCCUAAUACAUGCAAGUCGAACGGUAACAGGUCCAGCAAUGGAUGCUGACGAGUGGCGCACGGGUGCGUAACACGUAUGCAAUCUACCUUUAACUGGGGGAUAGCCCCGAGAAAUCGGGAUUAAUACCCCAUAACAUUAUGAUGAGGCAUCUCAUUAUAAUUAAAGCUCCGGCGGUUUUAGAUGAGCAUGCGCGACAUUAGCUAGUUGGUGAGGUAAUGGCUCACCAAGGCGACGAUGUCUAGGGGUUCUGAGAGGAUUCACCCCCACACUGGUACUGAGACACGGACCAGACUCCUACGGGAGGCAGCAGUAAGGAAUAUUGGUCAAUGGGCGCAAGCCUGAACCAGCCAUGCCGCGUGAAGGAUGACGGCCCUACGGGUUGUAAACUUCUUUUGUACGGGAAAAAACCACCGGUCGUGAAUCGGUGCUGAUGGUACCGUAAGAAUAAGCAUCGGCUAACUCCGUGCCAGCAGCCGCGGUAAUACGGAGGAUGCAAGCGUUAUCCGGAUUCAUUGGGUUUAAAGGGUGCGCAGGCGGAAUGAUAAGUCAGUGGUGAAAUCUCUCGGCUCAACUGAGAAACUGCCAUUGAUACUGUCGUUCUUGAGUACACUUGGAGUGGGCGGAAUGUGUCAUGUAGCGGUGAAAUGCUUAGAUAUGACACAGAACACCGAUCGCGAAGGCAGCUCACUAAAUUGUAACUGACGCUCAUGCACGAAAGCGUGGGGAUCAAACAGGAUUAGAUACCCUGGUAGUCCACGCUGUAAACGAUGAUCACUCGAUGUUGGCGAUAUACUGUCAGCGUCUAAGCGAAAGCAUUAAGUGAUCCACCUGGGGAGUACGAUCGCAAGAUUGAAACUCAAAUGAAUUGACGG
Molecule: ribosomal RNA, 911 nt
Filed under: uncultured bacterium
Lineage: Bacteria
Description: bacterial SSU rRNA
Rfam family: Bacterial small subunit ribosomal RNA
Source: RNAcentral